CAGGACGACAGAUAGGUAGAUAUCAAGGAUAUAUCGGUUGCAUCCUCACUGAGACCAGUCCCAGGAUUCAUUGCGCCCCAAGAUUGUUCUUGGAAGGCAAGUUAGCAACACCGGUCUUGGCAAACCACAAAUACGAUUUUUGUGUUCUUGGUUUUGAGAUGCACCCUAUAUUUAUUGAGUGCUAGCUUUUAUUUUGAGGGCAAUAUGCAUGUAAUAAUAAUAGUAUUAAUAAUACAUUCGGUUUAUGCAGCACAUUUCAAAAGACACUAUCAAUAUUCAAUAACAUAGAACACAGCGAGAGUAAUAGGCGCAGUAACAAACCAGCCCAGUUACAGCAAGCAUUAACUGACGAAAAAUACAGUAGUGUGGAAUUGACUGAGUUUUAGAUGGAUGACGCAAGCUGAGCAUAGAGAGAAUGGAGGGAUCAAAGUGGAGACAGCAGAGUGGUGGGAACUCUAGAGCUUGGGGGAGCAAGAAGGUUUCAGGCAAGAUUUGAAAGCUGGGAGAUAGGGUGAGUUACGGAUGCUGGAGGGAAAUCCAAAGUCUAGGAGCAACCCAAGAGAAGCUGUGGAGUCCAGAAAGAGGAACAGCAAGGAGUUCAGAAGAGGAAGAUCUAAGAGUAUGACUGUGCGAGCAGGGAUGGAGAAGAUCAGGCAGGUGGGAGGAGCAAGGUUGUUAACGUCUUUAGGUGAGGAGAAUUUUUCAUGUAUAUAUGGCAUGAAUUUUGGGACUUAAUCAGAUCAGGGCGCCAAGGCUAUCUGGGACACACAGUGCAUCUAGGAAGACAUUUCAUCAGCUUCUAGCUUUCUCAGGAGGCAUGAUGAAUGUUUGCUGCUGUCCCUCUGCACCAGGGGAUGCUCCUCUGAGAUCGGAGUGCUGUCGACUUUGGACGCACGGAGAAACAGAACGGUCUGGUUUGUGUCAGGUUUGGUGUCUGGCUGAAACGGUGGCCUGCAGAGAAGAAUCGGCCUCCUGGAGGCUGGGCACAGGGGCGGCAGGUUGAGCUGCUUGCACACCUGGUCUACAGCAUGUAUGCAUCAGACACUCAUGAAUAAUUAAUCAGCACAGAGUGAGGUCAGGCUACCUAGGUUUCUCUCCGUGUGGGUCGUAUUUCUCCAGUUGCAAAUGUAUGAUGCUUAACUACUUGUAACGCUUCUGAGAGUCAGAAUUAAUGCUUUUCACAAUUAAUCCUUUCCUGCCUCUAUAUAAAAUAUAUCAUAUUACCUUCUGGGACAAUUUUCAGGACACUGUUGGUUUUUGCAUGAUUUGCCAUAGUAGUGUAAGAGACUGAUAGUGAUACUGGCUGUGCACCAGUGCCCUCAAAUCCCAACCAAAGCUUAUAGCUGCAGUAUGGCCUUGAUUAGUUGUACCAGCUCCCCCCAAAGGCUGAUCUCUCAGUGAAUCUUGCUAUUCUCCAUUAUCUGUGAGCAGCUCCUAUGUUCCUCAGUUGCUGGUUUGCUUUUGAACUAUAAUUCAGUAUGUUGCUCUGACAAACAGCCAUGCCUGGCAGCCAUCUUAAAAUGAGAAAUCCGGAUCCCAGGCUGGUCACUGAGUAGAAGAAGUGUGGAAUGAUCUGGAAGAGGACGUCUUUGUCAGACACGUAGAUACAGCAUCUAUCAGCCGGCAGGAUGCACUUAUGAUUGUCGCAGUUUGACCCGGUGCUGUCGUGGAGCCAAGCCACCACUCCCCAGUUGACCCCCUCUAGACCGAUGACCUUCUCGUGGAACUGGGCUUCUUCUUGGCCAGACCCUCACUCUGUUUCCUUAAGGCUGCCACACUGUUCCUGUAUCUGUGUGAGCACCGUCAGAGUCCGCUGUGUCCCGUUCCCCGGCCCAUGUGACCACUGCAGACCCCAGGCAGCCAAUGGCGUAUUACUAUGCCUCCUCUGGUGGUUUGUGGCAUCCAGCUACACUUUCAUGAUCUGUGAGUUGUCAGAGCGGCCGUGUUGUAAGUCUGAUUUAGGCUGGGAGAGAGUUCUCCCAGGACAGGAGGCCAAAGCUAUAACAGGGCUUUAAGAUGGCUUUUUAAUGUGCUCCAGUUGGUCUGGCUCACAAAGAGCCCUGUGUAUGUAUAAGGACUCGUGCUUUUUAGGAUCGCAUGCCUAUAAUUUUGUAUUAAAUUCAAAUGUUUUAGUUGGGACUAAUGUACAUAUGUCACAGGGACAGGACCCGCUGUGAGAAUCGGGCAGCUACCAUUUGUGCUGGUUCCCUUAAGCAGCACAGCUUCACUGUAAGCUGCUGUGGGGGUCAGAUGCUCAGGAGGGCUGGUCGGCAAACCAGGUCACUCCUGCUAAUGUCAGAUAACCUUACUCA
Brienomyrus brachyistius is the source of this 2312-nucleotide long non-coding RNA. RefSeq lists it as uncharacterized. The transcript has 3 exons. The record is from RefSeq and is a predicted model, not a curated record. NCBI's taxonomy places the organism in Eukaryota, Metazoa, Chordata, Actinopteri, Osteoglossiformes, Mormyridae.